This 478-nucleotide ribosomal RNA is filed under the name uncultured bacterium. Its description in RNAcentral is "partial 16S ribosomal RNA". It matches the Rfam family "Bacterial small subunit ribosomal RNA", at positions 28 to 523 of the family's 1533-position model. The record is from RNAcentral.
GAUGAACGCUGACAGAAUGCUUAACACAUGCAAGUCUACUUGAUUCUACUUCGGUAGUUGAUGGUGGCGGACGGGUGAGUAACGCGUAAAGAAUCUGCCCUUUAGUUUGGGAUAACCUUUGGAAACGAAGGCUAAUACCGGAUAUUAUGGAGACGUCGCAUGGCGACUCCAUGAAAGCUAUAUGCGCUAGAGGAGGACUUUGCGUCCCAUUAGUUAGUUGGUGAGGUAAUGGCUCACCAAGACCGCGAUGGGUAGCCGGCCUGGGAGGGUGAUCGGCCACAAGGGAACUGAGACACGGUCCUUACUCCUACGGGAGGCAGCAGUGGGGAAUAUUGGACAAUGGGCCACAAGCCUGAUCCAGCAAUUCUGUGUGCACGAUGAAGGUCUUCGGAUUGUAAAGUGCUUUCAGUAGGGAAGAAAAAAAUGACGGUACCUACAGAAGAAGCGACGGCUAAAUAUGUGCCAGCCGCCGCGGUAA